RNAcentral lists this ribosomal RNA (495 nucleotides) under uncultured bacterium. Its description in RNAcentral is "partial 16S ribosomal RNA". It matches the Rfam family "Bacterial small subunit ribosomal RNA", at positions 28 to 507 of the family's 1533-position model. The record is from RNAcentral.
GACGAACGCUGGCGGCGUGCCUAAUACAUGCAAGUAGAACGCUGAAGGAGGAGCUUGCUCUUCUGGAUGAGUUGCGAACGGGUGAGUAACGCGUAGGUAACCUGCCUGGUAGCGGGGGAUAACUAUUGGAAACGAUAGCUAAUACCGCAUAACAGUAGAUGUUGCAUGACAUUUACUUAAAAGGUGCGAUUGCAUCACUACCAGAUGGACCUGCGUUGUAUUAGCUAGUUGGUGGGGUAACGGCUCACCAAGGCGACGAUACAUAGCCGACCUGAGAGGGUGAUCGGCCACACUGGGACUGAGACACGGCCCAGACUCCUACGGGAGGCAGCAGUAGGGAAUCUUCGGCAAUGGACGGAAGUCUGACCGAGCAACGCCGCGUGAGUGAAGAAGGUUUUCGGAUCGUAAAGCUCUGUUGUAAGAGAAGAACGAGUGUGAGAGUGGAAAGUUCACACUGUGACGGUAUCUUACCAGAAAGGGACGGCUAACUACGUG